Molecule: long non-coding RNA, 939 nt
Organism: Salvelinus namaycush (lake trout)
Lineage: Eukaryota; Metazoa; Chordata; Actinopteri; Salmoniformes; Salmonidae
Exons: 3
Source: RefSeq, a predicted model, not a curated record
AUUUGAUUUACUGUAACACCCUCCUCUAGAGUUUUACCUCCUAAAGGACACUUAAGUGAUCUCUUUCUCCAACUAUUCUUCCUGAUGUCUCUCUCCCUCAGUAAUGAGGAGGCAGCAGAGUUGCUGGGAGAGUAUCCCUUUGGACUGCAGCAGCUGAUGGAGAUCUGGGGCCAUGUCUGUGCCAUCGCUAUCAACAAGGCCUUCCCCCUGAGUUCCCUGAAGAGGCAUCCUACAGUCUUGGUGAUCUGUGGUCCCAGUCAGAACGGAUGUAUUGGUCUGGCCUGCGCUUACGCACGUUUGUGAGUAACCUGCCAGUGGAGUGUGUGUUUUUCCGAACUAACUAAAAGGCACUUCCUUGACACCCAGUCCCUCUUCUUCUCCACCUAUCUCUGUCUUUGUGUCAGGACUAUAUACCCACGGUGUACUACCCUAAGUGCUCUAUUCUUGCCUUGCACCGGGACUUUACAGCAGUGUGAGAGAACUGACAUCCCUUUCCUCUCAUUUCUCCCCGCAGAGGUAAGGGAACUACUGUGAAUCAAUGAAUGCUAACCAAGGUUCAUUUUUUUAUGGUAGAGUCCUACAGCAGCAUCUUGCUCUCCCUCAGACACCGAGGCAUCCCCAUCGCGGACAUCCCCUCAUGUGACCACAACGUAUACACACACUUGGAUGAAAGCAUCAAGACAGCCUAAUCAAUAAUAAAAUGCUUGAUAUGAUAUCUACCUGCAGGAUUACCAGGGGCUAAAAACCUAUCCGAGGGUGGGACGAGGCCAAUGUCGACUGUAUAAACCCAGCAGUGCGCUGUCUGUUUCGGUGGGACACAUUACCUGGUGGGACCCGUGCUUAAUUUGAGCCUGAUCCUGUUCAUCUCUGUUUUGGACUGUUUUGUUCAGGAACCCAUUUGCUUUUCCUGACGAGACAUUUUCAGUUUGCAAUGUAAAA